GAUGAACGCUGGCGGCGUGCCUAAUACAUGCAAGUCGAGCGAACGGACGAGAAGCUUGCUUUUCUGAUGUUAGCGGCGGACGGGUGAGUAACACGUGGAUAACCUACCUAUAAGACUGGGAUAACUUCGGGAAACCGGAGCUAAUACCGGAUAAUAUUUUGAACCGCAUGGUUCAAAAGUGAAAGACGGUCUUGCUGUCACGUAUAGAUGGAUCCGCGCUGCAUUAGCUAGUUGGUAAGGUCACGGCUUAUCAAGGCAACGAUGCAUAGCCGACCUGAGAGAGGGGUCGCCGGCACGAGAGCUGAGACGCGGACCAGAGGACUGAGAGACGCAGCAGUAGGGUACGGUCGGCAAUAGGCGGAAGCCUGACGGAAUGAGGGCGCGUGUGAGGUAGCGAUCUUCGGAUCGUGAAGCUCUGUUUUUAGUGAAAAACAUAUGUGUAAGUAGCUGAGCAGAUCGUGACGGUACCUAAUCAAGAAGCCACGGCUAACUACGUG
RNAcentral lists this ribosomal RNA (497 nucleotides) under uncultured bacterium. RNAcentral describes it as "partial 16S ribosomal RNA". It matches the Rfam family "Bacterial small subunit ribosomal RNA", at positions 28 to 507 of the family's 1533-position model. The record is from RNAcentral.